UACAGAGGUGGCAAGCGUUGUUCGGAAUUACUGGGCGUAAAGGGCGCGUAGGCGGUCCUGCAAGUCCUGUGUGAAAUCCCUCGGCUCAACUGGGGAACUGCACAGGAUACUGCGGGGCUUGAGUUCGGGAGAGGGAAGCGGAAUUCCGGGUGUAGCGGUGAAAUGCGUAGAUAUCCGGAGGAACACCGGUGGCGAAGGCGGCUUCCUGGACCGACACUGACGCUGAGGCGCGAGAGCUAGGGGAGCAAACGGG
This 253-nucleotide ribosomal RNA is filed under the name uncultured bacterium. Its description in RNAcentral is "partial 16S ribosomal RNA". It matches the Rfam family "Bacterial small subunit ribosomal RNA", at positions 524 to 776 of the family's 1533-position model. The record is from RNAcentral.